AUGGAGGUGUGCAACUCAUCAGUGCCCCUCUCGGGUGGCCGAGCACCCGCUCCGGGUACGUGCCAGGGCACACGUCUGCUCCUAAGGGACACCUUCAUUUGUGGCUUUGAUUUUAGCCCCGAUAUUUGGGCCAGCAGUCUCCAGCCGUGCAUUUAUAAAGCUCUGCGUUGCUACAACACAGAGUUYGUGGCCAAAGCGUCCACGGCGUGGAGGGGGCGCAGGUCCGACCCCCGUGGAACGGCCUGGCUGGAGCUGCGGCGCUCGCYGCGGAGGAGAGCCGCUCCGGCCCUUGCCCGGGCAGUGCAAUCCCCCCAGGACUGCCUCCGUGCUCUGCCCCGAGCAAGGCUUUGUUUCAGGGGAAGAGGAAGGCAGAUUCGGUGUCCAGCCGGCACAAGGGGUCUCAGCGGGGCUGCGCAGGGCUGCGGCCGCGAUGCAUCACCCAGGAAGGCUGCAAACGAGCUCCAGCCAUUUCAGCACGAGAAAUGCUGGAAAACGUCAGGUCAAAGCCUUUUCGGGGGGGGGGAUUCGGGCUGGGCAAGCACGAGAAACCCCGCGGGAGCCCCGCCGGGGAGCGGGUGGAGCGCAGCCCUCGGGGAGGGYGGCAGGGCAGGGGCCGGCGGCCAUCCAGCGCCCAUCCUGCAGCACUGCCGUGGGCCCGUUGCCGGCCGGUGUGCGCGGAGGCGAGCCGGAGGAGCGUGUUGCUGUUUAGACGACUUGUUGAGCGAGCCAGCGAGCGCYGGAGCAGCAGCCCGUUUGCGCGUGGCAGCCGGUGCUCGGGGCUGCCCACAAACCCCGCGCAAACCUCGCGCCAGCGGCGCGGCUGGGGCGAACGGGCAGCGGCGGCCGAGAACGAGCCGGACCCGCGUCGGCGGAGCCGGAGCCGCCAGCCGGCCCCGCAGCUGCGCGCGCGGCUCCAAAGGGGGCUGCUGCAGCCGGCGCGUUGGCUCAGGCUGCGCGGGACGUCCCGUUUUAGGAAAGGCAGGCAGGAUUACCUUCCUCAUAGGAGAGACAGCUCAAAAAUCUUCUAAGUCAAUGCCUGCUUUGGUGAGUGCUGAAGAAAACAUUUUGGAUAUUGCCCCAUCAAAACCAAAUUAA
RNAcentral lists this long non-coding RNA (1095 nucleotides) under Apteryx haastii (Great spotted kiwi). Its description in RNAcentral is "lncRNA (ENSAHAG00000018662.1)". The record is from RNAcentral. Lineage: Eukaryota; Metazoa; Chordata; Aves; Apterygiformes; Apterygidae.